RNAcentral lists this transfer RNA (69 nucleotides) under Carterodon sulcidens (Owl's spiny rat). Its description in RNAcentral is "tRNA-His". It matches the Rfam family "tRNA". From Rfam's summary of the family: Transfer RNA (tRNA) molecules are approximately 80 nucleotides in length. Their secondary structure includes four short double-helical elements and three loops (D, anti-codon, and T loops). Further hydrogen bonds mediate the characteristic L-shaped molecular structure. tRNAs have two regions of fundamental functional importance: the anti-codon, which is responsible for specific mRNA codon recognition, and the 3' end, to which the tRNAs corresponding amino acid is attached (by aminoacyl-tRNA synthetases). tRNAs cope with the degeneracy of the genetic code in two manners: having more than one tRNA (with a specific anti-codon) for a particular amino acid; and 'wobble' base-pairing, i.e. permitting non-standard base-pairing at the 3rd anti-codon position. Lineage: Eukaryota; Metazoa; Chordata; Mammalia; Rodentia; Echimyidae. The record is from RNAcentral.
GUAAAUAUAGUUUAAACAAAACAUUAGAUUGUGAAUCUAAAAAUAGAAGAUCAAAUCUCCUUACUUACC